RNAcentral lists this ribosomal RNA (474 nucleotides) under Granulicatella elegans. RNAcentral describes it as "bacterial SSU rRNA". It matches the Rfam family "Bacterial small subunit ribosomal RNA", at positions 28 to 484 of the family's 1533-position model. The record is from RNAcentral. Lineage: Bacteria; Bacillati; Bacillota; Bacilli; Lactobacillales; Carnobacteriaceae.
GACGAACGCUGGCGGCGUGCCUAAUACAUGCAAGUCGAACGAGAGCGACCGGUGCUUGCACUGGUCAAUCUAGUGGCGAACGGGUGAGUAACACGUGGGUAACCUGCCCAUCAGAGGGGGAUAACAUUCGGAAACGGAUGCUAAAACCGCAUAGGUUCUACAGUCGCAUGACUGAAGAAGGAAAAGAGGCUUCGGCUUCUGCUGAUGGAUGGACCCGCGGUGCAUUAGCUAGUUGGUGAGGUAACGGCUCACCAAGGCCGUGAUGCAUAGCCGACCUGAGAGGGUGAUCGGCCACAUUGGGACUGAGACACGGCCCAAACUCCUACGGGAGGCAGCAGUAGGGAAUCUUCCGCAAUGGACGCAAGUCUGACGGAGCAACGCCGCGUGAGUGAAGAAGGAUUUCGGUUCGUAAAACUCUGUUGUUAGAGAAGAACAGCGCAUAGAGUAACUGUUAUGCGUGGGACGGAUCUAACC